AGCGUCUCCGAAGGCCACCUCUCUGGCCUGGGCCAGGGGCCGAAGCGGGGUCGGCUGCUCAAGAGGCGGCAACUUUGGCUUAUACUGACUCAGCCCAGCGCCCCCUUUUUAUCCCACUUAAAAAUGGAGAAAUGGCCUCCGGGAGGAAGAUGUGAAGCGCAACGCUCUAUCUCUUCUGAUCUUCACUCAAAAGCAGCCGCAGGAGCUCUUGCUAUCUCGCUCUGGUGCAGCGUUUUUCCCUCCUCCCUCACUUUCCCACAUGCCCAGAGGCAAAGUGUCUGGCCGACGUCUGAGGAGUGAAGAAGCCACUGGGAACCACUCCCUCUCACUCACCGAACUAUGGGAGUAAAGAAGCUGCAACAUUUCUGGAGGCUCGUCCAGGUCUUCGGAAGGAUGGGUAACAAACUAUUUUCAGCCUGCGCUCCUCUAGAGUGCGUCCUGAAUCACUGGGAAUCCUUUGACCUGCAGAUUCUGAAGAGAUAAUGCUGUAUAUUCCUUCGCACAAGGGCUUGGCCAGGUUAUAAGCAGCAGGAUGGAGAAGCCUGCCCUCUGGAGAGAAGUAUCAACUUUAAUGCUAACCUGCAGCUGGACCGUUUCUGUAAACAUGGAGGCAAAUGGUCUGAGGUCUCAUACAUGCAGGUUUUCUUUGCCCUGCAGGAUAAUCUGGACCUUUGCUGAUAUUGUAAGAUAGAUCCAGCCUGCCUAGCAGUCAUCUCAGGAGAGGCUGCAAAGGACAGUCCCAGGGAAGUAAACCCCAAACCCCAGAGGUGCCUCCAGCAGGGGGAUCAGAUCCCUCCAGUCCUACUCCUGGUCCAUCACGUCCUCCCUAUCCAGGUUCUCUCUCAAGCUUGUCCUCUCCUAGGAAUCCUCGUUUCAGGCAGGUCCCAGCCUCACUCAUGCCCCUACAAGAGAUGCCUUGUGAAUAUGGCCCCAUUAAGGUAUAGACGUGUUUACUCAUGUCUUUUUUCUACAGGACUUAAGACAAAUUAAGGGGGAUCUUGGUAAGUUUUCAGAUGACCCUGAAGGGUAUAUAGAGGCUUUCCAGAAUUUAAACCAAGUAUUUGAACUCUCCUGGAAGGAUGUUAUGUUACUUUUGAAUCAAACCUUGACUACCACUGAGAAGCAGACAGCCCUGCAAGCAGUAUAGAAGUUUGUGGAUGAGCUUUGUAUCUCAUACAGUGCCAAGAAAGGGAGAGGAUAUGCAAGAAAAAGACAGAAAAAUCUAUUGGCCACCCUGCAGGCUUACAAACCCCAGAAUCCCAAAGAUGCACCUGUUAACUGCGACAAAUGUGGCAAACCAGGGAAUGUUAACAAGGACUGCCCAGGCAGCAUGAGGAAGCCAGCUCGACCCUGUCCAAUCUGUGGUGGGGACCACUGGAGGGUGGACUGUCCCCAGAGAUGCAGGUCACUGGGUCCAAAGCCAGUCUCACAAGUGUCUAACAGGAUUGAUGGGCCCCAGGGCUCCUGACCCUGGCUCUGACAGCUCAGACUGCCAUUACCAUCCAGGAGCCCUAAAUGAUUCUGGAGGUCAAAGGGAGGAAGGUGAACUUCUUCCUGGAUAGCAGAGCAGCCAUUUCUAUUCUCCUCUCCAAUCCAGGCCUCCCUUCUUCCCUUCGCAUGACCAUGAAGGGUGUCUCAGGAAAGCUUUUAACCUGAUAUUUUUCCCAACCCCUUAGUUGUAGUUGGGGAGACCUCAUGUUUACUCAUGUCUAUUUAAUCAUGCCCAAAAGCCCAACUCCUCUGUGAGGCAGGGAUAUUUUAGCUCAUAUGUGAACUACCAUCCUUAUGGCUCCGGGACACACUCCUUGCCUCCCCCUGGUGGAGACUGAUAUCAAUCCAGAAAUUUGGGCAACUCAAGGGAAAAUUGGCUGAGCCACAACCACCAUACUGAUCUGGAUCCACCUUAAGGAUCCUACCUCCUUCCCUAACC
This 1930-nucleotide long non-coding RNA is filed under the name Pongo abelii (Sumatran orangutan). RNAcentral describes it as "lincRNA". The record is from RNAcentral. Lineage: Eukaryota; Metazoa; Chordata; Mammalia; Primates; Hominidae.